GUUGGCUACGGGGACAUCUACCCCACUACUCCGCUUGGAAAAGUGAUUGGUACCGUUUGUUGCAUAUGCGGCGUACUGGUAAUCGCAUUGCCCAUUCCUAUCAUCGUUAACAAU
Aedes albopictus (Asian tiger mosquito) is the source of this 114-nucleotide non-coding RNA. The record is from Rfam. Lineage: Eukaryota; Metazoa; Arthropoda; Insecta; Diptera; Culicidae.